Molecule: ribosomal RNA, 1840 nt
Filed under: Heliconius pachinus
Lineage: Eukaryota; Metazoa; Arthropoda; Insecta; Lepidoptera; Nymphalidae
Description: bacterial LSU rRNA
Rfam family: Bacterial large subunit ribosomal RNA
Source: RNAcentral
UGACCGAUAGUGAACCAGUACCGUGAGGGAAAGGCGAAAAGAACCCCGGCGAGGGGAGUGAAACAGAACCUGAAACCGUGUACGUACAAGCAGUGGGAGCCUUGAUUUGUCAGGGUGACUGCGUACCUUUUGUAUAAUGGGUCAGCGACUUAUAUUCUGUAGCAAGGUUAACCGUAUAGGGGAGCCGUAGGGAAACCGAGUCUUAACUGGGCGUUAAGUUGCAGGGUAUAGACCCGAAACCCGGUGAUCUAGCCAUGGGCAGGUUGAAGGUUGGGUAACACUAACUGGAGGACCGAACCGACUAAUGUUGAAAAAUUAGCGGAUGACUUGUGGCUGGGGGUGAAAGGCCAAUCAAACCGGGAGAUAGCUGGUUCUCCCCGAAAGCUAUUUAGGUAGCGCCUCGUGAACUCAUCUUCGGGGGUAGAGCACUGUUUCGGCUAGGGGGUCAUCCCGACUUACCAACCCGAUGCAAACUACGAAUACCGAAGAAUGUUAUCACGGGAGACACACGGCGGGUGCUAACGUCCGUCGUGAAGAGGGAAACAACCCAGACCGCCAGCUAAGGUCCCAAAGUCAUGGUUAAGUGGGAAACGAUGUGGGAAGGCACAGACAGCCAGGAUGUUGGCUUAGAAGCAGCCAUCAUUUAAAGAAAGCGUAAUAGCUCACUGGUCGAGUCGGCCUGCGCGGAAGAUGUAACGGGGCUAAACCAUGCACCGAAGCUGCGGCAGCGACACUAUGUGUUGUUGGGUAGGGGAGCGUUCUGUAAGCCGUUGAAGGUGGCCUGUGAGGGUUGCUGGAGGUAUCAGAAGUGCGAAUGCUGACAUAAGUAACGAUAAAGCGGGUGAAAAGCCCGCUCGCCGGAAGACCAAGGGUUCCUGUCCAACGUUAAUCGGGGCAGGGUGAGUCGACCCCUAAGGCGAGGCCGAAAGGCGUAGUCGAUGGGAAACAGGUUAAUAUUCCUGUACUUGGUGUUACUGCGAAGGGGGGACGGAGAAGGCUAUGUUAGCCGGGCGACGGUUGUCCCGGUUUAAGCAUGUAGGCGGAUGUUCCAGGUAAAUCCGGAACGUUAUUCAACGCUGAGGUGUGAUGACGAGGCACUACGGUGCUGAAGUAACAAAUGCCCUGCUUCCAGGAAAAGCCUCUAAGCAUCAGGUAACAUUAAAUCGUACCCCAAACCGACACAGGUGGUCAGGUAGAGAAUACCAAGGCGCUUGAGAGAACUCGGGUGAAGGAACUAGGCAAAAUGGUGCCGUAACUUCGGGAGAAGGCACGCUGAUGGUAGGUGAAGUGACUUGCUCAUGGAGCUGAAAUCAGUCGAAGAUACCAGCUGGCUGCAACUGUUUAUUAAAAACACAGCACUGUGCAAACACGAAAGUGGACGUAUACGGUGUGACGCCUGCCCGGUGCCGGAAGGUUAAUUGAUGGGGUUAUCCUCGCGGAGAAGCUCUUGAUCGAAGCCCCCUAUAACGGUCCUAAGGUAGCGAAAUUCCUUGUCGGGUAAGUUCCGACCUGCACGAAUGGCGUAAUGAUGGCCAGGCUGUCUCCACCCGAGACUCAGUGAAAUUGAACUCGCUGUGAAGAUGCAGUGUACCCGCGGCAAGACGGAAAGACCCCGUGAACCUUUACUAUAGCUUGACACUGAACACUGGUCCUUGAUGUGUAGGAUAGGUGGGAGGCUUUGAAGUGUGGACGCCAGUCUGCGUGGAGCCAACCUUGAAAUACCACCCUUUAAUGUUUGAUGUUCUAACGUUGCCCCGUUAUCCGGGGUGCGGACAGUGUCUGGUGGGUAGUUUGACUGGGGCGGUCUCCUCCUAAAGAGUAACGGAGGAGCACGAAGGUU